AUUGAACGCUGGCGGCAGGCCUAACACAUGCAAGUCGAACGGUAACAGGAAGAAGCUUGCUUCUUUGCUGACGAGUGGCGGACGGGUGAGUAAUGUCUGGGAAACUGCCUGAUGGAGGGGGAUAACUACUGGAAACGGUAGCUAAUACCGCAUAACGUCGCAAGACCAAAGAGGGGGACCUUCGGGCCUCUUGCCAUCGGAUGUGCCCAGAUGGGAUUAGCUAGUAGGUGGGGUAACGGCUCACCUAGGCGACGAUCCCUAGCUGGUCUGAGAGGAUGACCAGCCACACUGGAACUGAGACACGGUCCAGACUCCUACGGGAGGCAGCAGUGGGGAAUAUUGCACAAUGGGCGCAAGCCUGAUGCAGCCAUGCCGCGUGUAUGAAGAAGGCCUUCGAGUUGUAAAGUACUUUCAGCGGGGAGGAAGGGAGUAAAGUCAAUACCUUUGCUCAUUGACGUUACCCGCAGAAGAAGCACCGGCUAACUCCGUG
RNAcentral lists this ribosomal RNA (490 nucleotides) under uncultured bacterium. Its description in RNAcentral is "partial 16S ribosomal RNA". It matches the Rfam family "Bacterial small subunit ribosomal RNA", at positions 30 to 507 of the family's 1533-position model. The record is from RNAcentral.